This 77-nucleotide transfer RNA is filed under the name bacterium. Its description in RNAcentral is "tRNA-Asp". It matches the Rfam family "tRNA". From Rfam's summary of the family: Transfer RNA (tRNA) molecules are approximately 80 nucleotides in length. Their secondary structure includes four short double-helical elements and three loops (D, anti-codon, and T loops). The record is from RNAcentral.
GGGAUGGUAACACAACUGGUUAGUGUACUUGGUUGUCAACCAAGAGGUUGCGGGUUCAAGUCCCGUCCAUCCCGCCA